Molecule: long non-coding RNA, 2556 nt
Organism: Passer domesticus (house sparrow)
Lineage: Eukaryota; Metazoa; Chordata; Aves; Passeriformes; Passeridae
Exons: 4
Source: RefSeq, a predicted model, not a curated record
GCAAAACCUUCCUACUUUGCUUAUGUUUGUAUUUUGAUCUUCAAAAUAUCACAAGUGGUUUGACCUGUGGGAAAGGUUUCACCUUCUAGGUGCUGAUUCAGAGUAGGUGGUGGUGUGGUCUGGUAGGAUAAUUUCUGCUUUCAGCCCAUUGAGGCUGAUAAUAUCCAUGAGUUAGACAAGGCUUUGUUUUAGUUUCAUUUCCAUCUUUUAAUGCAAAAUUGUACUCCCUGAGAAUGGAGACUUAGUGUGAAGUCCUGACUAAAGCUCCUGCCCAUUCACCUGCAGUCUGCAGAGGCUGAGUCCAUAAAUCCUGAGAAAUCUCAGUGGGCAAAUGUAGCUGAUUCCCCAGAAACCUUGGGACAUGCUUGACUAUUUGCAAGAUUUCCAACCUAUUCUAUUUUCUCCAGCACCCAAGGCUGUGAGGAGCUUGAAAAAUCAGGAUAAAACUCAUUUCUAGUCAGAACCAAGUUGCAGGGAGCUCUUACCCAACAUAUUCCUUUGCGUAGGAGCUUGGAUCCAUUCCAGUGUUUUGUCAGCCAGUAUUUAUGGCCUUCCAACCUCUUCCCCAUGGCAGCUGGCUGAAAUUUGAAAGCAAUUACAAGUCUGGGCUGAUGUUUGUCAGUUUGUAGGAGGGAGUAACUAAGUGCUAACCCUAACAACAAUUCCCUUGCUCUGCCUGGAGGGCUCAGCUGGGAGCAGACCCUUUUCUCUGGGUGAAAUCGCUCACCCAGUGUGAGCACCAGAAGGAGCUUGGGUGCAGUUCUGAGAUGGAAAGAAGCUCUUUUGUCCAACUUCUGCCUAAUGUUUUCUUCUCCCAGAGUCUUUCAGAGGAUCCAGCUCUACCCUGUAAAUUUUCACCAAACCUUAGAUACGCCCUUUUCUGAAAUAACAACCAUAGCACUGCCUUCUCUGAGAAGUGUCCAAAUAAAUGUCUUUGCCCUGGAUGUCUCACAAAUGACCCCCUUACCAGGCACACAGCACCAUGCCUGAAUUUAGAGCUGGGUUUCAAAGGAAUUUGCUCCCAGUUACUCCUUGUUCUAUCACCCCUUCAUUUCAGAAGUCAUUUGGGUGAUGUGUUUGACAGCCAUGGCUGGAUUUGGAUAGUUAGAGAGGUUGAGAGUGUGUAGCAAACAACUCUUAACUUUUAUUCUAUUCACCUUCCCAUGUCACUUUCUCAAAUCACAUUUCUCCUCCAUAAGCAGAGCUUGCUCUGUAAGAGGAAGAAGCUCUUGCUGCUUCACUGUGCAAAGCAACACCGAUAAAUUCAUGCCAGAAAUGUCUCCUUUCAGCAAGCCUUGAGACUGAAGCCCUCUCCUUUGAAAAACACAGGUCCAACUCAUGUAUGAGCAGCAAAAUGUCUUUUGUUUCUCUUAUGGUUCUUAAUUCUUGAAAUCAAUAUCAAAUCAAUAACAGAACAAUCCUCUCCUAUCCUAAUUCCCUAUGACACUCCCUGCUCAUUUCUUACAAGCUUUGGAAUGACUUCUGGAAUAGAAACAGUUCUAAAUUGAGGAUUUGCAUUCAGGAUUUCAUCCUGACUUCAUUUUUAGUGCUUCUUUCCUGCAGUCUGGAGUGAUGGCAGUGUGAGAGCUGGUGGGUACCACUGCCUGCCCUGGUGAAUCAGAAAUUGCUCCUUUCUCUGAUGUCACCGUGUCAUGGUCCUGGGAAAGAAGCUAAGCAUGAUUGCAGGGCAACUUUUUCCACUGCCGUCCUCCACGUCUUCCCUGGGAAGGAUUUGCUUCUGGAACUCCUUUUCAAAGGGACUCUCUGAAGCCAGCCUGUCUGGGAGCACUGGUGCUAUGAGAUCCUUCAGCACCAAAGUGCAAAGCAUUUCACAGACAGCUUUUCUUGAGGAAAUAUGACAACAUCACCCAGAAAUGUCCUCUGAGCUGGUCCCAGGGAUGAGCUGCUGGAAGGAAUCAAACAUUUACAGCUCCAGAGGGACAGAGAGGUAAUGUUGGAUCACAGAAUCAUUUAGGUUGGAAAGGACCUUUAAAAUCAACAUGUCAAGCUGGUGAGGCUCAUCUGAACUCUACAAAUUCUCUUCUCUCCUGGCAAGGCCUGAUGGAGCCUGUAUAAACUGGAGUCUUUGAGUCUAUAAACCACAAAUUAUCUCCCAGAACCAUAUAAAUCACAUACUUAAAGACCAAUAGUCAUAACCAGACCAUAGUUAUGUCUGUGGAAGAACUGAAAUGUGAGGUUCAUACUGCACAAUCCAGCUGGUCACAAACGGAUCUCACCUCCCUGGAAUUAUACAACUGAGCUCAUGUAGAAGUUGAGGCAGCAUCAAAAUUCAGGUCUGGACCUGAAAUCCCACUCAGCCUUCGAUGUACUUUGGAAUCCCUGCAGCACCAGGUGCUCUGGGGCUGGAUUUAGGAGGAAAUGGCCCAGUUGGCUGACUGUGGUCCCUGUGAGCCUCUGGGCACAGAGUCCCCCAGUGCUGUGACAGCCCAGCCUUCAGCUGCCACCUCAGUCACUCCUUCAGCACUGUGGCUUCCAUUCGCACCACUGGCACUGCAGAAAACACAUUCAAACCUCACCACAGUGAUUUGUUCUCCU